This 62-nucleotide transfer RNA is filed under the name Hypoaspis linteyini. RNAcentral describes it as "tRNA-Leu". Lineage: Eukaryota; Metazoa; Arthropoda; Arachnida; Mesostigmata; Laelapidae. The record is from RNAcentral.
AUUAGAAUGGCAGAAAUUGCAUAGGAUUUAAGCUCCUUUUACACCUUUUUAGGUUUCUAAUA